CCCCUAGAUGUUCUGGGCCGCACGCGCGCUACAAUGAUAAGUUCAGCGAGUAUAACCUUUUUCGACAGAAAUGGGUAAUCUUAUGAAAGCUUAUCGUGCUGGGGAUAGAAUAUUGGAAUUCUUGUUCUUGAACGAGGAAUGCCUAGUAAAUGCAAUUCAUUAAAUUGCGUUGAUUACGUCAAUGCCCUUUGUACACACCGCCCAUCGCUCCUACCGAUUGAAUGAUCCGGUGAAGUGUCUAGACUUUGAUAUUGAAACUGCGCAAGCGGUAUUAAUAAUGAGGGAAGGACAAUAAACCUUGUCAUUUAGAGGAAGGAGAANAUGCANCA
Molecule: ribosomal RNA, 329 nt
Filed under: uncultured eukaryote
Lineage: Eukaryota
Description: partial 18S ribosomal RNA
Rfam family: Eukaryotic small subunit ribosomal RNA
Source: RNAcentral